This 253-nucleotide ribosomal RNA is filed under the name uncultured bacterium. RNAcentral's name for it is "partial 16S ribosomal RNA". It matches the Rfam family "Bacterial small subunit ribosomal RNA", at positions 524 to 776 of the family's 1533-position model. The record is from RNAcentral.
UACGAAGGGGGCGAGCGUUGUUCGGAAUUACUGGGCGUAAAGCGCGCGUAGGCGGCUUUGCAAGUCGGGUGUGAAAUCCCCAGGCUUAACCUGGGAACUGCAUUCGAGACUGCAUUGCUAGAGUAUGGGAGAGGGAAGUGGAAUUUCAGGUGUAGCGGUGAAAUGCGUAGAUAUCUGAAGGAACAUCAGUGGCGAAAGCGACUUCCUGGACCAAUACUGACGCUCAUGUGCGAAAGCGUGGGGAGCAAACAGG